UACAGAGGGGGCAAGCGUUGUUCGGAAUUAUUGGGCGUAAAGGGCGCGUAGGCGGCCUGGCAAGUGGAUGGUGAAAUCCCUCGGCUUAACCGAGGAACUGCCAUCCAGACUGCUUGGCUUGAGACCGGGAGAGGUGAGUGGAAUUCCCAGUGUAGUGGUGAAAUGCGUAGAUAUUGGGAGGAACACCAGUGGCGAAGGCGGCUCACUGGCCCGGUACUGACGCUGAGGCGCGAAAGCGUGGGGAGCAAACAGG
This 253-nucleotide ribosomal RNA is filed under the name uncultured bacterium. RNAcentral describes it as "partial 16S ribosomal RNA". It matches the Rfam family "Bacterial small subunit ribosomal RNA", at positions 524 to 776 of the family's 1533-position model. The record is from RNAcentral.